CUCUCAGUUCUCUCAAAUAACUGAGAUGAAAUUGGAUCUGAGAUUACUGCGGCUUGAUUUUAGAGCAAUCUUCAGCUAUCUGUUUAUUUCUUCAGCAGAAAAUGAGUGCAAGUCUGGAAAGAUUAAAAUUUCCAUUUUAAGCAAGAUGUCUUGAGACGUGUGCAUGAGGAUCCGUUGAAUAACUCUCACACAGACAUCCUGAACAAUGUUGAACUGGAACAAUCCGAAAUCUUAUUAGCUAUAAAUCAAGUUUUGGUUGAAGUUUUUAAGAUCAAAUUUCUAUUACUCAAGAUGAGAUUACAAAUAUUAGCUCAGCAGAUGAAGUUCUUAAUCAACAGAAUAAGUGUACAUUGAACAUUUUGAUUAAGAAUCUAGCUGUCAGUUAGGUCAACAUUUAAUCUUCAAUAGGCUAAUCUCAGAUGAAGAAUGUGGUACUUCUCAAAAUCAAGCACGUCUCUGAGCAUCUCUCUUUGGGCAAUAAUAAAGAGAGCGAUUAUGACGCUUUCAAGGCUACCUUUCCUGAUUCUAAGAUUAUAAAAUUCUCAAGGUUUGGUGAUCAAUUGGGAUGCUAGCAGCAAACAGACAGGUACUUGAUCACACGAGGAACCAAAUUCGCCUUUUGCGGAGUCUACCUGGUAUUAACCCUGAGACAAUAUUGGCUGACUUACAGUCUCUAGGGAAAGUAAUUUUUCGAGAUGAAAUCAAAUAAUCUGAAACUUGAAGAAAGAGAAAGAAACUACAAAAGCAGAAAACUCCAUCCUUAAAAGCUGAAGUCAAUUCAAUGGUGUCUCGAAAAACAAGUUAUAGAAAAAGUCUCGCAGAGGAAGUCACGCUGCCGCUGCAAAAGAUCAACUAUUUCAAGACAGAAAUUCCCUAAUCCAACCGGUGCUAAAAGCUCCAUUUUCCACCACUGCCCCAUCCCCACCACAACCACCAUCACCCCCAAAUGAAUGUGUUAUACUGGUUUUGUUUGGAAUCCCUUACAUUUACUCUAGAGGGACGGCUUCACCUAAUCGUCGCGUAACGACUUUUCUUCUCAACCUAAAGCAGAAGUUAUCUUUCUUUGCUGGAGAGGUUAUGGAACAACAGAAGUUUCCGAGUACUACAUUCAUAUUUCAUCAGGAAGCAGACUAGUAACAGAAGAAAAGGGAUCAAGAAUAGAUGGGAGACAUGGAUGACACGUGCCAAAAACAAUAAAAGGAUCUCAAUUCAUCUUUCUCAGCCAAUAGCUGGCAGGGUUCUGGAAGGAAUUAGGGCACUCUUUCCUAGAGAUAUUUCUAGGUGUCGUGGCUUUGAUUCGUUCAAUAUCAGUGAUGAGGAAAGAAUAUCAGACUCGUAUGUAUGUGGUGUUGUUUUCGGGAACCCCUUACGCUGAUUAUGAUGAGAAGUUUUUGAUCCUAAAUACCUAGCGCAAUUGUCAUGUUGAAUCUUCAUAGGAAAUCUCUUGGAGAAAGUUAGCAGAUGUAUCCGUGUUGAGAGACCAACAAGAUUCCGCAAGUUAUGGUGCAGCAUCAUCUACUUGGAGAAAUACUCUUGUCUAAGCACGUUCAGCAGGUUGUCUCUUUUGGAUGCAGCAGGGGCAGUUGGAGUCAUCUUCAGAAGACGAGGGGUCAUCUGAAUAGACCUACAAGGUUUGCGUGGAUGCCUAUUUGAGAAAGAUUAUGAAACUGAAAUGUGGAUUAUCAUUUUUGAACAAUAUGCUUUGAAGAACACCCUAUCUGUGCUUAUGUUGGUCUUGUCGAAAAAAUAGGACUCUGUCAAUUCAGCCAAGAACAAUCCCAAGCUUCCACACUUUAAGAUCAUGGACAUUACUAGGUGAAGCCUGCGACAGACCCUCCUUGUGUCAGAAGGCUGUUAGAAGACAACUUGAACCGCAUGACUUGAUGAAUGAUAGAUUUGUAUUUAUUUGUUAAUCCUUGUAAGUUGAACAAAAUGUACUUCGGAAAAAUAAGGAAAUUUUGACCAUCAAUGCUUGCUCUAAAACCAGGAUUAUAUAUUUCCCUUGUUGGCUUAA
Papaver somniferum (opium poppy) is the source of this 2014-nucleotide long non-coding RNA. RefSeq lists it as uncharacterized. The transcript has 6 exons. The record is from RefSeq and is a predicted model, not a curated record. Lineage: Eukaryota; Viridiplantae; Streptophyta; Magnoliopsida; Ranunculales; Papaveraceae.